GAGCAGCAAGGACCCAGUGACAGUUGUGUUGGCAGAGGGGAAUGAACUGACCUACUUUCAUGAUGAUGGAGUCUUGAUGGAGCUGAAGCAUAAAUAAAUGAAUAUAUUGAGUUUACAGAUUGGAUUGUGGCCUCUAUAGAGAAAACACAGGGUUAUGAAGAAACCGUAGGAGGAACAAUGGCUCGAAAAAGGACACCCGUCCUCCUCUGCUCGACUUGGAACUCAAUUUGUCCUCCCGCACAGUUUUGGCAAGAAAAAGCCAUCUGAAGGCAUAAAUAUACAUUGAGCAUCAGUCUGUGGUUUAUGGCAGAGAACCUACGCAACAAACAACAAACGUCUACGUAUUACAGCAAAAGCCUACGCUAAAAGGAAAUCGCACACUUAUACGUAGAUAUGUUUAUUUGUGUUGCCAUUGUGGGCCGCUCUCACGCUGAACUACAGGCCUGAGAGGAAGUUUCCAGUGCGGUUACCAUGACGAGGGUCUUGGAGUACAGGAAGUUCAGUGCUAAGAGAAAUGACAUCCGAGAGGGACGCAGACAAACAUUUGUCCAGAUGAACUGGGGUAACAGGAUUGUGUUUGGACAGGAGCUUCUCUCCGCAGGGAACAAGGCAAAACAAAGAAAAGCCCCCUCGGCUGGAGAGAGAGAGAGGGAUGGAAUGAGAAAGAGAGCUAGUGAAACAGUGAGUCAUGAGUGCAGCUUUGAACAACAAGGGGAAAUCCUCCUAUUGAGAGGCAUGUGCUAUGGAAACACAUCACUCAUAGAGCUCAUCAAGAAGCCUACACAAUGGAGCUAUUUAGGGAAAUUUCACAUGAAUGUCAUAUUAGCAUUCUUGGGGGAAGGGAUUAAAGACUGAGAAGGGGGUUGGAAAGGGCAGAACAAUUACCCUGAAGAGACGGUGGGCCAGACCCCUGCAGGUGGAGCUGACAGGGCGAGACCUCAGGCUGUCAUGAGCUAUUAGCUAGGCAGAGACGGCCAGAGAACACACACUCAGAAGGAGCAACUAUAUGAAGAAUAGCUUUUUUCUCCUGGUCUAGGCUAUGUCCAGCAUACUACUUGUACUGUUUCUUCUGUAUGUUGUUGUAAGUGAGGUUUGGACUACAUUCUGCAUGCAUAAUAUAUUCACUAUACAGGCUAUACAGCAAAUGACUGUGAAGUGCAAUAUAGGGCCACAGACUUUAAUCGCUCAGACUUUUCUGUAAGAGCUGUCAGUAUUUGGAACACACUACAAAAUAACAUUAGACUGUGUUCCACCUUUGCUUAAUUUAAGUUAUGACUAAAAAUAUGACUAAAGAUGAGCCAAAUAUGUGAUUGUUGAAAAACCUUUUUUAAUCAUUAUUCAUUAGAAUUCAUUCAUUUUAAGUGUAUUAGCUUUUAUUAUAGUGCAACUUGCUUGUAAUUGUAUUACUGCUAUUUGUAGUUUUUUUCUUUCUUUUUUUGCAUUAGGUGUGUUCAGUGUAUGCUAAUUAAUGGAUGUUUUAAUUACAGCGUAUAUUGCUUUUUUUUUUCCUGCUUAGGGACUGCAGAGGAAAAUUAGUAAAUUUCAAAUAAUUGAUAACUAAAUAUAUUUCUGAACAAAAUGCCCUUUAUUUCACUUUCCAUUUCCAAUAUGAAAUAAUAAAUAUAAACUGUGAUUUUUAAUACAUCAAAAAAACAAAAACAAUAUUUACUUACAUGUUGUUAACUUGAUGCCACUAAAUUUAAAAUGCUAAGUAAAGUGACAAUAAUGUAGCAUGCUAUUGUUUGUCACUGCAUACUUAUACAUAUUUAGGAGUAUACAGUGUAUAGUGACGUGACAUUCAGCCAAGUAUGGUGACCCAUACUCAGAAUUCGUGCUCUGCAUUUAACCCAUCCGAAGUGCACACACACAGAGCAGUGAACACACACACACACUGUGAACACACACCCGGAGCAGUGGGCAGCCAUUUUUAUGCUGCGGCGCCCGGGGAGCAGUUGGGGGUUCGAUGCCUUGCUCAAGGGCACCUAAGUCAUGGUAUUGAAGGUGGAGAGAGAACUGUACAUGCACUCCCCCCACCCACAAUUCCUGCCGGCCCGAGACUCAAACUCACAACCCUUCGAUUGGAAGUCCGACUCUCUAACCAUUAGGCCACGACUUCCCUACUGUGCAGCAUGCUAGCAUUGUAUUCAAUCGCAUCUAUAGAGAGUGUUUAUUGUCAUUCCAGCCAUAUAAAAGCAUACAGUGAAUCUAAAUCUUGCUAUGUAGUUUACAAAAAUUACAAUCUUAUGUCUAUACAGUGAGAUAUAUAGUCUUCCAUUCUCUGCAGUUCUUUUUUUUUUUUUUUUAUAGAGAGGACUGGAAAUGAUUUGGAGAGAGAUGGAACAACAUGUCUUUAAACCAUGCUUACAAGUUCAGGCUGAACUUAUAACCCUUAAAGACCUCAUAAUCUCACCUCAGUUGCCUUUGACCAGGUCGCACAUUGUGUACAAAGUGUGGACUUUGCCUCUUAAAGAAUGACUAACCUUUGAACAAAUAUACUGGGUGUGUUUGUGUCAACAGAAUGAUGCAAAACUCUAAAAUUAUGUGCAACUCUUGCACACACAAACAUACAUGUGCCAUAACAACUUUGUUAGUGAGCAGGAAAACAUAAUGCUUUGCAUUAUUUUUAACAUUGCACUUGUUUCUACAGCAUCAAAACACAUCACCACAGCUACAAAUUAGCAUUUCCCCCCAGUGUCGCACCUUCUCGUUACUUCUCUUUUCUUUGCUGUACGUUUCUUAGUUACUUCCUCUUUCUAAAUUCCUAAUUCUGAAAUAUAAAACAAAUCUCACAGGUUUACAAUCCUAUCAUGUUCACAUUCAGCUCUCAUUGUGCCUGCUUUGCCCACAGAGAAGGGAAAGAAAGUUGUUGCACAGUAAUUUAGACAAUAAAUCCUCAAUGAACUAUAUUUAAGCCUGUGUGCAACUAAAAUUAGUGAAGGAUCUACCACUUUUUUUCUGUAAACAAAUUAUAGAUGGCAUAAGAGCAGACAUCCUUUAUAAUUUAUCAUUUUUAUUUAUACUAUAAUUAUAGAGUAGAAUACUUAAUCAGUGCUUUUUUUUUUUAGUAAAACCCAUAGGGAAAAAAAUAAAUAAAAAUUAUUUAUAUAUAUUAUAUUAUAUUAUAUUAUAUUAUAUUAUAUUGUGUGUGUAUAUAUAUAUAUAUAUAUAUAUAUAUAUAUAUAUAUAGUUAAAUCUUCAGAUGUUGAAAUAAAUACACUAGGGCUGCAACUAACGAUUAUUUUGAUAAUCGAUUAAUCGGUCGAUUAAUUUUACGAUUAAUCGAUGAAUCGGUUUAUGUACUUAUAUUUUAGUUUUGCCCAUUUUUUCCCCAAGUAAAUUAUUAACAAAGGGUCUUUAUCAUUCAACAUAGACUUUUUAGAGAUUUUAACCAUUUUGCAUUGUCAUAUCCUCAUCAAAAACAUACCUGGAGUUGUGUUUUAUUAUGUGUUAGUUAUCCUUUGUCGAACUCUUCUGCAAUCAAAACACUGACCCAUACAUACUCUAGCAAAUUUCACAAGGAGAUUUCAAAUAAUGUUUUCACCAUGGCAUUCCUUAGGGCUCCUAAAGUAGUUUAACAUCCCGAACAAAGCUUAUUAAGGAAUCUUUCAGAACAUAUUAUCACAAAGAAUAAGAAUAAAACAGAAUUAAAAUUGCAGUAAAUUGCAUUUUAUUAUUCUUUUCCUGUAAACACACAGCUUAUACCUGGGAAACAGCUUUAUAGCUUAUGCUGUGAAAUUGUAAACAAUCCUUCCAAUAAAGUGCCAAUGGCAUGAAACCUGAAUGGAACUCACAUUUUAAAGUAAAAUUUAAAGUAAAAUCCAUCAGAAGGUUGUCCAGAAAAAAAAUUGGACACACACAAAAAACCUGCUGUGUGAAAAAGAGCAGUGAAUGCUUAGAAAAAAGUGCAUUUCAAAUACAUUUAAACAUUAACCUCUCUCAGUCAGUCAUAAUUAGGCUGCAAGACUGAAUUAUGAACUGGUAAACGACAAAGCUUUAAAUGUUAAUUGCUAAAAAGCAAUGUUAUCAGCUUUUAUGACUAAACAUUUGCAAACAACAUUGUACUGCAGAAUCUACACAAAUAAAAGUCUUUGCACACUGUGAUUUUCAUCGGAUUUAAAUAUGUAGUGGUCCUUAUAACAGUGCAAAAUUUCAAAAAUGUAAUAAAGCGAUAAAAUGUUAACAAAACAGCUUAUGCCUGAACUGACAACAAUUCGACUACCUGUGGGAAAUGAGGCAGAACACUAUUCACUCAUUAUUUGAGAAAAACUUUGCAUUGCAGUGCAAAAAGGUCAACAUGUCCAAAUGUUCAGGGCUUAACAGUUAGGCUUGCUCUCUUUUUGCUCCCACACUUUGGAUGACUUCGUCCAAUUAGGUUUAUCUUCCGCUUUUUUCUUUUUCUUACUCGAGCUUACUUCACUGCCGCGUGCCUCACCCAUCACGCUGAAUGCUGCAGAGAGACGCUGUGCGGGAAGCACGUGACAUAAAACGAGGCCAGCUAUUGGCUAGUCGCUACUUCUCCUGCUGUACUGGCUGAGUAAAACCUCCGGUGGCUCAUUACUGCCACACUUUGGUCACCACAGAUUUAAAAUAUGCACGAAAUGAGCCGCUUACGGCAAAUAAAAAUUAUUUAGCAACGAAUCGAUUACUAAAUUAGUUGACAACUAUUUUAAUAAUCGAUUAAAUCGAUUAGUUGUUUCAGCUCUAAAAUACACACAAAUAUAUUAUAUUAUAUUAUAUUAAUAUAUUGAAUAAACGUCUUUUUAAAAUAUGUUUUGAACAAUAUAUUUUGACUGUAAAUAUAUUGAAAUAU
This is a long non-coding RNA of Cyprinus carpio carpio, 4810 nucleotides long. The record is from Ensembl. NCBI's taxonomy places the organism in Eukaryota, Metazoa, Chordata, Actinopteri, Cypriniformes, Cyprinidae.